This 360-nucleotide transfer RNA is filed under the name uncultured Microcystis sp. Its description in RNAcentral is "partial 16S-23S ribosomal RNA intergenic spacer". The stretch from base 135 to 208 matches the Rfam family "tRNA". The record is from RNAcentral. Lineage: Bacteria; Bacillati; Cyanobacteriota; Cyanophyceae; Chroococcales; Microcystaceae.
AAGGGAGACCUAAUUCAGGUAGGAGACGAAAAAAAAGUAGUCCCAACCAAGAAUCAAUCCCAAAAGGUCGGAGCGAGGCGAAAUUGGCUUUCAAACUAGGUUCUGGGUUCAUAAAAGACCUGAAUCAGGAACAAGGGCUAUUAGCUCAGGUGGUUAGAGCGCACCCCUGAUAAGGGUGAGGUCCCUGGUUCGAGUCCAGGAUGGCCCACCUGCACAGGUGGCAAAAACAAGAGAAGCGAGGAAUCAGCACCUUAUCUUAUAUACAUAUAUAAGAGAGAAUGCUGGCUCUGAGUACAGAGUCCAGAGGAACCUUGAAAACUGCAUAGAGCUAGGUGAAAAAGCCAAAAAAGAAGACCGCAA